UACGGAGGAUGCGAGCGUUAUCCGGGAUUUAUUGGGUUUAAAGGGAGCGUAGGCGGGAGGUCAAGUCAGCUGUGAAAUGUAUCUGCUUAACGGGUACACUGCAGUUGAAACUGGUUUUCUUGAGUGCGUAAGAGGCAGGCGGAAUUCGUUGUGUAGCGGUGAAAUGCUUAGAUAUGUCGAGGAACUCCUAUUGCGAAGGCAGCUUGCUGGGUCGUUACUGACGCUGAUGCUCGAAGGUGCGGGGAGUCAACAGGAUUAGA
This 260-nucleotide ribosomal RNA is filed under the name uncultured prokaryote. RNAcentral describes it as "partial 16S ribosomal RNA". It matches the Rfam family "Bacterial small subunit ribosomal RNA", at positions 524 to 782 of the family's 1533-position model. The record is from RNAcentral.